Molecule: ribosomal RNA, 468 nt
Filed under: uncultured bacterium
Lineage: Bacteria
Description: partial 16S ribosomal RNA
Rfam family: Bacterial small subunit ribosomal RNA
Source: RNAcentral
GAUGAACGCUGACAGAAUGCUUAACGCAUGCAAGUCCACUUGAAUUUGGGUUUUUUAGCUUAGAUUUGGGUGGCGGACGGGUGAGUAACGCGUAAAGAACUUGCCUCACAGCUAGGGACAACAUUUGGAAACGAAUGCUAAUACCUGAUAUUAUGAUUAUAAGGCAUCUUAGAAUUAUGAAAGCUAUAUGCGCUGUGAGAGAGCUUUGCGUCCCAUUAGCUAGUUGGAGAGGUAACGGCUCACCAAGGCGAUGAUGGGUAGCCGGCCUGAGAGGGUGAACGGCCACAAGGGGACUGAGACACGGCCCUUACUCCUACGGGAGGCAGCAGUGGGGAAUAUUGGACAAUGGACCAAGAGUCUGAUCCAGCAAUUCUGUGUGCACGAUGACGUUUUUCGGAAUGUAAAGUGCUUUCAGUUGGGAAGAAAAAAAUGACGGUACCAACAGAAGAAGUGACGGCUAAAUACGUG